UUUAAAGAUUGUUGGCGCUCCUCUAAUCGGUGGUGUGAGGCCUGUGGAGCUGGUGGCAGCAGAAAGCUGUGGUGCUCCCGAGUGCUGUAAUGACUGCACGGCGAGAUGUGCGGGUCUUCAUGGGAACAGCAAGGAACUGAAAGCUGCAUUUCCUGGGAUGCCCUGGAACCCCACUUUGCUGACUGGUAACUGUCUGCCCGGCAGGCAGGUCUUCAAUGACGAUAUUGGACAGAACAGGCCUGAAGAGCACUCAGGAUGGCAUACCAGCUGCAUUUAACACGAUUGAGCAGCACUCAUUAGGCCAGGCAGUUCAGCUAGUUCUUCAUCUAGCAAGCAAUGUACCCGUCCAAGUAGCCGGCUGCAAUCUUUCAGAGAAUUUUAAGGGAUAGCACAUCAAAGGGUUUGCCUCACUCAUGGGGUUGGGUCACCUUUGCUUUGAGUUUGCUACCGUGGCUGACCCUAAUCCUGUAACUGACAUCCUGUAGCUGGACAGAGACCAUUCACACUCCAUCCAGGCUGUUUGAGACUCACAGCCAUGCUGAGAGUCACACUGAUUUCAGCGUGUGCAGUCAUUUUGCAUCAACCCAAUUGGCUUUAGCUUUACAAAUAAUUUGAUCUCAACCAAAUUGGCUUUAGCUUUGCAGUUAAUGCAUUGCAAAUAAG
RNAcentral lists this long non-coding RNA (663 nucleotides) under Gallus gallus (chicken). RNAcentral's name for it is "lncRNA (ENSGALG00010011642.1)". The record is from RNAcentral. Lineage: Eukaryota; Metazoa; Chordata; Aves; Galliformes; Phasianidae.